This 427-nucleotide ribosomal RNA is filed under the name uncultured bacterium. RNAcentral describes it as "partial 16S ribosomal RNA". It matches the Rfam family "Bacterial small subunit ribosomal RNA", at positions 355 to 774 of the family's 1533-position model. The record is from RNAcentral.
UGGGGAAUAUUGGACAAUGGGCGAAAGCCUGAUCCAGCCAUGCCGCGUGUGUGAAGAAGGUCUUCGGAUUGUAAAGCACUUUAAGUUGGGAGGAAGGGCAUUAACCUAAUACGUUAGUGUUUUGACGUUACCGACAGAAUAAGCACCGGCUAACUCUGUGCCAGCAGCCGCGGUAAUACAGAGGGUGCAAGCGUUAAUGGGAAUUACUGGGCGUAAAGCGCGCGUAGGUGGUUUGUUAAGUUGGAUGUGAAAUCCCCGGGCUCAACCUGGGAACUGCAUUCAAAACUGACUGACUAGAGUAUGGUAGAGGGUGGUGGAAUUUCCUGUGUAGCGGUGAAAUGCGUAGAUAUAGGAAGGAACACCAGUGGCGAAGGCGACCACCUGGACUAAUACUGACACUGAGGUGCGAAAGCGUGGGGAGCAAACA